RNAcentral lists this long non-coding RNA (430 nucleotides) under Brassica rapa (field mustard). RNAcentral's name for it is "long non-coding RNA (BRAP_LNC007555)". Lineage: Eukaryota; Viridiplantae; Streptophyta; Magnoliopsida; Brassicales; Brassicaceae. The record is from RNAcentral.
UUAGUUUAAGUUGAAAAUUAAAAAUUUAUUAAAAUAUUUUAGACAAUUAAUCAAAUAAAUUACAGAGAUUUUAUUAAAUUCAUAAAAACGAGUUAAAAUAACUAAUAUUAAAUUAAAUAAUAUCUUAUACAAUUUCAUAUUUAAUAAAUAAAUAAUAAUAUAAUUAUAUAUAUAUAUAUAAAUAUUCAAAUGCACUAAUGUAAAACUGUUAAAACAUUUUGAUUUUAUAAAUUAGAUUUUGUUAAAAUAAUAUUCCCCAGCUUUAAAACAAUUUAUAUGAUUGGAUUAAUAACUUAUUUGCGUGGUCAUGCGAAUCCGACAAAAACAGAAAAAAAAAACAAAAGACAAAAGGAUUAUCGUUCCCGGUGAAAAAACUGUUAGAUAAUGAGUUUCAAUUUAGAAAUGAAUAAUUAAAAUAAUCCGUUGGGAA